Molecule: long non-coding RNA, 201 nt
Filed under: Mytilus galloprovincialis (Mediterranean mussel)
Lineage: Eukaryota; Metazoa; Mollusca; Bivalvia; Mytilida; Mytilidae
Source: RNAcentral
GCUGUACAUGUCUGCCUGGCAUGGUUCAUCUGACCUUGACCUCAUUUUCAUGGUUCAUUGAUCCAUGUUUCGUUUUCUUGGUUAAUGUUGAGUUUAUGUGACAGUUGUAAUAAAGCUUUAUAUUUAGGUCUAUCAACAUAAUAUCAAUGAUUAGUAAAGAAGGCGAGACAUUUCAGCGUGUGCACUCUUGUUUAACAAAAU